Non-coding RNA from Pelobates cultripes (western spadefoot toad), 249 nucleotides. Lineage: Eukaryota; Metazoa; Chordata; Amphibia; Anura; Pelobatidae. The record is from the annotation of a GenBank genome assembly.
ACAAUCUCAAGGUAGGUGGCCGUAUAAAUUUAACAUUCACAUGAAUGAAAGGAUGCAAUGUUUCCUUGCAGAUCAUUUCCCAGUGCAUAACACUGAAUCUGCAAGGCUGCCUUCUUCCCAUAGUGCUUCCUGCUACCAUCUCUUCUCCAGAUAAAAAUGAUUUUCAACCUUCUUAAAUUGCUUCAUGGUCCAACUCACAUGUCCCCACUGAAGGCGCUUUCAGUGGUAGACAGAUGUCAUGGUCAGGAG